AGUGAACGCUGGCGGUAGGCCUAACACAUGCAAGUCGAACGGCAGCACAGUAAGAGCUUGCUCUUACGGGUGGCGAGUGGCGGACGGGUGAGGAAUACAUCGGAAUCUACUUUUUCGUGGGGGAUAACGUAGGGAAACUUACGCUAAUACCGCAUACGACCUACGGGUGAAAGCAGGGGAUCUUCGGACCUUGCGCGAUUGAAUGAGCCGAUGUCGGAUUAGCUAGUUGGCGGGGUAAAGGCCCACUAAGGCGACGAUCCGUAGCUGGUCUGAGAGGAUGAUCAGCCACACUGGAACUGAGACACGGUCCAGACGCCUACGGGAGGCAGCAGUGGGGAAUAUUGGACAAUGGGCGCAAGCCUGAUCCAGCCAUACCGCGUGGGUGAAGAAGGCCUUCGGGUUGUAAAGCCCUUUUGUUGGGAAAGAAAAGCAGCAGGUUAAUACCCCGCUGUUCUGACGGUACCCAAAGAAUAAGCACCGGCUAACUUCGUGC
RNAcentral lists this ribosomal RNA (493 nucleotides) under uncultured bacterium. RNAcentral's name for it is "partial 16S ribosomal RNA". It matches the Rfam family "Bacterial small subunit ribosomal RNA", at positions 29 to 508 of the family's 1533-position model. The record is from RNAcentral.